AAGGAAAAGAUGAAUGAUUUUUGAAUAGAACAGAAAAACAACAGAUCCUCCCCCCCAAUUUCCACCUUUGAAUGCAUCAUUACAAGUUUACAACUGAUCAUGGAUGCCAAAGAUUCCACCACCGCCUCCUCCACCGCCGCUCCCUCCUCCACCACCGCUCCUCCACAGUACCGUCGACCUCCUCGCCUUGCCGAGGAUACGAACGACGUUAAACCGUCGAAUCAGCCACCUAUUGCUGCUCAAAAGCCGGAACCCUUGUCUGAACCGAAACAGAAAAAGGAACAAGAAAGGAAAUCCGCCAUUGCGAUUCCCUCUAAGGACCCUGAUGCCCUGGACAGUGGUGGUGGAAUCAGCUUUUUGGGUGGAAGCAAAACUGCAAGACUUAACUAUGGCUAUGCCAGUUUCAAGGGUAAAAGGGCAUCAAUGGAGGAUUUUUUCGAAACAACAGUAUCAGAAGUUGAUGGGCAGAUGGUUGGCUUUUUUGGUGUUUUCGAUGGUCAUGGUGGUUCAAGAACAGCAGAAUAUCUUAAGAACAACCUUUUCAGGAAUUUAAGUGGUCAUCCAGGUUUUAUGAAAGACACAAAGACAGCUAUAGUUGAAGCAUUUAGACGGACAGAUGCUGAUUACCUUAGUGGAGAAAAUCCUCAGCAAAGAGAUGCUGGUUCUACUGCAUCGACUGCGGUAAUGCUUGGGGACCGACUUCUGGUAGCAAAUGUAGGAGAUUCCAGAGUUGUUGCUUGCAGGGCAGGGUCAGCUAUCCCUUUAUCGAUUGAUCACAAGCCCGACAGAACUGAUGAACGGGAGCGUAUCGAACAGGCUGGGGGUUUCAUCAUUUGGGCUGGAACAUGGCGGGUUGGCGGGGUUCUUGCUGUUUCUCGUGCUUUUGGAGACAAAUUACUCAAGCCUUAUGUUGUAGCUGAACCAGAAAUUCAGGAGGAAGAAAUUGACGGUGUGGAGUUUAUAAUCAUUGCAAGUGAUGGGCUCUGGAAUGUACUGUCAAAUAAGGAUGCGGUGGGUAUUGUGCAGGAAAUAACAGACGCAGAAGCUGCAUGUAGGAAACUUGUGCAAGAAUCGUAUGCAAGGGGCAGUUCCGACAACAUUACUUGCAUUGUUGUACGGUUUGAGAACCGUUGAUACCUCUAAAUCUAAUGUUGUUUUCCAAAUCCAUAGGUAAUGGUGGUGGUUGAUCUAAUAGUGAUAACCAAAUUGACUUUGGGUUACCUGUUGUUGCUUCCAAUUUUUAGAGUGAUAUGUCAAGAGUUGAUUGAUGGAUGGGAAAGAGACAUGCAUUUUGAAGACAGGUGAUCUGUAAAGUUACUAGUAACAAAAUAAAGGUGGAGGGUAAAUGGGAAAAGCCUACGCAUAUUUCAGGAUAUGAUUUUUUUCUUAUCUUCUAUAUUGGUUUCGUUUGUUCUUCACGGCAACGACUCUUGCCAUGGUUAGAACUUACCAGGUUAAUUGUUGCAUACGAUACCGUUUUGAUAGACUAAAAUCUCACCUGAUAAGUAAUUGACAAUGUUGAA
RNA transcript from Cynara cardunculus var. scolymus (artichoke), 1523 nucleotides. It is a transcript of the gene named probable protein phosphatase 2C 11, with no coding region annotated. NCBI's taxonomy places the organism in Eukaryota, Viridiplantae, Streptophyta, Magnoliopsida, Asterales, Asteraceae. The transcript is spliced from 9 exons. The record is from RefSeq and is a predicted model, not a curated record.